AACGAACGCUGGCGGCAUGCCUAACACAUGCAAGUCGAACGAGACCUUCGGGUCUAGUGGCGCACGGGUGCGUAACGCGUGGGAACCUGCCUUUAGGUUCGGAAUAACUCAGAGAAAUUUGAGCUAAUACCGGAUGAUGUCUCCGGACCAAAGAUUUAUCGCCUUUAGAUGGGCCCGCGUUGGAUUAGCUAGUUGGUGGGGUAAAGGCCUACCAAGGCGACGAUCCAUAGCUGGUCUGAGAGGAUGAUCAGCCACACUGGGACUGAGACACGGCCCAGACUCCUACGGGAGGCAGCAGUGGGGAAUAUUGGACAAUGGGCGAAAGCCUGAUCCAGCAAUGCCGCGUGAGUGAUGAAGGCCUUAGGGUAGUAAAGCUCUUUUACCCGAGAUGAUAAUGACAGUAUCGGGAGAAUAAGCUCCGGCUAACUCCGUG
RNAcentral lists this ribosomal RNA (433 nucleotides) under uncultured bacterium. RNAcentral describes it as "partial 16S ribosomal RNA". It matches the Rfam family "Bacterial small subunit ribosomal RNA", at positions 29 to 507 of the family's 1533-position model. The record is from RNAcentral.